This 288-nucleotide non-coding RNA is filed under the name Cyphellophora attinorum. RNAcentral's name for it is "Phialophora attae Bacterial small subunit ribosomal RNA". It matches the Rfam family "Bacterial small subunit ribosomal RNA", at positions 1283 to 1533 of the family's 1533-position model. The record is from Rfam by way of RNAcentral. Lineage: Eukaryota; Fungi; Ascomycota; Eurotiomycetes; Chaetothyriales; Cyphellophoraceae.
AUAGUAUAUUGUGGAUUGUAGUCUGAAACUCGACUACAUGAAUUAGAAAUUACUAGUAAUCGUGUAUCACUACGUCACGGUGAAUUUUGCAUCGGAUGGGUACUAACCACUCGUCAGGCGCCGAAAGGGGCAUGCGCAAAAAGUUUGGUUGUGUAUAAAUUUAGUAAUUUCUAAUUCAUGUAGUCGAGUUUCAGACUACAAUCCACAAUAUACUAUAUCCACUUUUAAAGAUUAGCUCCAUUUCGCAAUAUAGCUUCUCUUUGUAGAGGCGUAUGCAGCACGUCUAUA